CCUACGGGUGGCUGCAGUAGGGAAUCUUUCACAAUGGGCGAAAGCCUGAUGGAGCAACGCCGCGUGCAGGAUGAAGGCCUUCGGGUUGUACACUGCUUUUAUAAGCGAGAAAUAUGAUGGUAACUUAUGAAUAAGGAUCGGCUAACUACGUGCCAGCAGCCGCGGUCAUACGUAGGAUCCGAGCAUUAUCCGGAGUGACUGGGUUGAAAGGGAGCGCAGGCGGCACGGCAAGCCUGAUGUGAAAGCCCGCGGCCCAACCGCGGGACUGCAUUGGGAACUACCGGGCUGGAGUGCCGGAGAGGUAGGCGGAAUUCCUAGUGUAGCGGUGAAAUGCGUAGAUAUUAGGAGGAACACCAGUGGCGAAGGCGGCCUACUGGACGGUGACUGACGCUGAGGCUCGAAAGCGUGGGGAGCAAACAGGAUUAGAUACCCGUGUAGUC
This 440-nucleotide ribosomal RNA is filed under the name uncultured bacterium. Its description in RNAcentral is "partial 16S ribosomal RNA". It matches the Rfam family "Bacterial small subunit ribosomal RNA", at positions 338 to 795 of the family's 1533-position model. The record is from RNAcentral.